UUUCCCCAAAAGAGAAGGAAAAUAUGUUCUGUAGUGUCAAAAUUAACUAUAUAGAUGAAGGCAGAACAUGUCAAGUCCAAAGUUACCAGCUGCUUCCCUCACCUGCCAAGUUUCAGUGUCUGCCACCUCAGGCUGGGGACUUUGUAGAGUGACACCCAUUGGUAAUGAACUGGAGUGGAACCCAAAGGUAACUAAUUCUAUUCAUCAAACACUUAAAGGAGAACUACACAAAGCAUAAGUAGUACUGCCCUUGGGAAACACAACUGGGAUUGACCCAAUGGGAGUUAACUACGAGUUCCUUACGACACUAUUAUGAUGAAAAAGAUGGCAAUAUCUGGAGAAGAAUUAAACAUGGGAACGUGCCUGUUGGGACA
Long non-coding RNA from Colius striatus (speckled mousebird), 374 nucleotides. RefSeq lists it as uncharacterized. Lineage: Eukaryota; Metazoa; Chordata; Aves; Coliiformes; Coliidae. The record is from RefSeq and is a predicted model, not a curated record. The transcript has 3 exons.